AUUGAACGCUGGCGGCGUGCUUAACACAUGCAAGUCGUGCGGUAACAGGCGUAGCAAUACGUGCUGACGAGCGGCGAACGGGUGCGUAAUACAUGGGAAUCUGCCCUUUAGUGGGGAAUAACCCGGCGAAAGCCGGGCUAAUGCCGCAUAAGAUCUUCGGAUGAAAGCGGGGGAGUCGUAAGACCUCGCGCUGAUGGAUGAGCCCACUGUCGGAUUAGCUAGUUGGUGAGGUAACGGCUCACCAAGGCGACGAUCCGUAGCUGGUCUGAGAGGACGGCCAGCCACACUGGGACUGAGACACGGCCCACGACUCCUACGGGAGGCAGCAGUGGGGAAUAUUGGACAAUGGGCGAAAGCCUGAUCCAGCGACGCCGCGUGUGUGAAGAAGGCCUGCGGGUUGUAAAG
RNAcentral lists this ribosomal RNA (405 nucleotides) under uncultured bacterium. RNAcentral describes it as "bacterial SSU rRNA". It matches the Rfam family "Bacterial small subunit ribosomal RNA", at positions 29 to 430 of the family's 1533-position model. The record is from RNAcentral.